GACAGAGGCCUCAAGCGUUAGGCGGAAUCACUGGGCUUAAAGCGUGUGUAGGCGGAUCGUUAAGUGUCUUGUGAAAUCCCUCGGCUUGAACCGAGGAACUCGCCCUCCAAACUGCCUUGGCUUGAGACCGGGAGAGGUGGAGUGGAAUUCCCGAGUGUAGCGGUGAAAUGCGUAGAUAUUGGGGAGGAACACCCAGUGGCGAAGGCGGCUCACUGGACCGGUACUGACGCGUGAUGCGCGAAAGCGUGGGGAGCGAACGAGG
RNAcentral lists this ribosomal RNA (262 nucleotides) under uncultured bacterium. RNAcentral describes it as "partial 16S ribosomal RNA". It matches the Rfam family "Bacterial small subunit ribosomal RNA", at positions 524 to 777 of the family's 1533-position model. The record is from RNAcentral.